UCUGUUGUCUUCCCUACCACCUCUUCCAAAAACUCUAAUGCUACAGCAUGCCAUGCAAAGAAUUUCUGGGAAAGUAUGUAGAGCACUUUUUCAAGUAACUAUACAAGCAACAGUACCAUCAGCUGUUGUCAGGUUGAUUUAUUUUUUCCUCAAGUGGAGGAAAUAGUCCUCUUUGUGUUUUUGCAGGGUGUUUGGUAUGUGUGAGAAAAUAGUUGUGAGAGCAGGGAGACCGCGUGGUGCAGGAGGAAGCAUCCUGAGUGCCUCAGGUGCUUUCAGUGGCUAAAUUCUCAGAUUGCUCAUGCAGAGAUGAGCUAGGAUCAGAUCUGGUGAGAAAAAUGAAGUCACCACAAAUAUAAAAUUAAAAAAAUAAGUAAUAUCAAAUUACUCAAAAAGAAUAAUCCUAAUUCCACAGCCUAACUAUGUGUUUCAGAAGCAUCUUUGGACCUGACUUCUGCUAGUUUUGUCUGAUGGUUCCAAAACCUUGAUCUGCAAGAAGCAGGAGACUGUGGCGUAUAUUACCUCUGCAUCAAUUUCAGUUUUUCUCUUUUCACCCCCUAUCUCUUUCCUUUUCUCCCCACUCUUCUUCACCUCCACCUCUGCAUCUUCUGCUUCUCUUUUCUUCUGCCGCUUCUUGGUUCUGUCUGUGUGCUGAACUUCUCUUUACAAAUUCAUCUUAUCAGUCUCUCUCUCCCUCUGCCUCACAUGACCGUCACCCACCCACUCAAACCAAAGCAUCUGUGCACAAGCUUGGAAACAUUCAGGUACCUAAAACCUAGAGAGCUACUGUAUUGGCAUAGAUGUAAGGCAGGGGAAAAAGAAUGCCAUGAAAUGAGAAUAGCCCCUGCUCUGGCCUUGCAGAGAGUUUAGCUCCAGUUCUGCAGCCUCCCCAACCGCACGCUGUCCGCUUGCCAGGCUUCCCUCUGCCCAGGCAGUGUACGUGAACCUCCUUGGUAUGCGGGACCAGGUCCAACCCUGCUGCCUGGCUGCUGCAGCUGUGCAGCCGCCCUUGCCACCACACUCCACCCCAUGGCUUGAGCAGGGGAAGCAUGGUGCAUCCAUCCAUCAGUGAAACCCAGUCCUUUAAAACAAAGAUUAGCUUUUUUAAGUAGUUCCUGUGAAGAUAGACAGAAGUCUCUUUGUUGGCUUAGGUAACUAUUGUAGAAAUUACUGGCUUCAGGUUAAUCACUGCAAAAUAAGUUGAUUUUGCUCAGCAUCCAUGAUCAGCGCUGGCUCCCAAGUUACUGGAAAAGGGACAGGUGUUAAGGAUCCCACCACAUUGCUCAAAGACUACAGCUUUUUUCCUGAGCGUCAGUUUAGUGAGUGUGAGGUUGUAGCACUCCUCCAUAACAAGCUCCCAUUUCAGACUUUCUCUUUUCAGCUUUGCUUUGUAUAGGUCAUAAAGGAUUUCUGAUGCAAGCCUCCUUAACUCAUUUCUUUAGAACUUUCUACUUACAAAAACUAUGAGGUGAUUUCUCUUCCCAAACAAUGCCUUUGAUACAGGAUGUAAGCUGAUUUUUAUGGCAGUCGUAUUUUUCAUUCUCCAUGCAAGACACACACAAUAAAAACCUAAAUUACUUCGUGUCAUUCAGCUGGUUCCAUAAGGCUUCUAUUGAAAACUCAUGGAUAGAUGGAUCAUUUCACUUCUCUGAAUAAGUUAUGUAAUUGGAAGAGUUCAUUUCAUUUCAGAAUUAAAAGCUAAUAAAUGGCUCGGAGUUCUGUCUAUGAAAUGUGAUUAUUAUUUGGAACAAGGCAAUGCUAGCAUGAAUUAACAAACAAUGUUAAUGGAUGAUAAGUAAUUUUGUUUAGAAAUUAAAUGUUACAUUAACCAAAAUGUAGAAGUUUGCAUUUGGCAAAGUGAUGUGAUGCCAUAGCAACAGAUGACAAUUACAAGCAGCUUUGGGGACUUGCCCACAUUCCUUCUUAGCCACCCCAGUCCUCCUAUAUCCAUGGUGCAGAUGAAUUAUAACCCCUGCUUUCCAACCUUCCUUGAAAAAAACAUACUCCUCUUCUUAGAAAGUAAGAAGGUCCGGUACUAGGCCACUUAAAACCAGAAGUGAAUCCAUGUGGUAGACAUGUUACUUGCUUAUAUGCUGCUAGUGGGGGAUAAGUCUAGAACUGCUUCAAAUUGUACGUCAGAUCAGGCGAACACCAUUUGGGAACGUACUUAUCUAUUGUAUUUUAAUUUGAAAUAAUUUGCUGUAUCAUUUUUUACAUUCAGCUAUAGAUUGAUGUAGUCACAGACUUUCUGAUGGUUGAAAUGCUGUAAAAAAAAAAAAAA
Long non-coding RNA from Oxyura jamaicensis (ruddy duck), 2278 nucleotides. RefSeq lists it as uncharacterized. Lineage: Eukaryota; Metazoa; Chordata; Aves; Anseriformes; Anatidae. The record is from RefSeq and is a predicted model, not a curated record. The transcript is spliced from 2 exons.